RNAcentral lists this transfer RNA (76 nucleotides) under Oscinella pusilla. RNAcentral's name for it is "tRNA-Cys". Lineage: Eukaryota; Metazoa; Arthropoda; Insecta; Diptera; Chloropidae. The record is from RNAcentral.
AAGCUUUAUAGUCAAUAAAUGAUAUUAGACUGCAAUUCUAAGGGAAUAUACUAUUAUAUAUGUAUAUUAAGGCUUA